This 85-nucleotide transfer RNA is filed under the name Rhodococcus sp. T7. RNAcentral's name for it is "tRNA-Ala". The record is from RNAcentral. Lineage: Bacteria; Bacillati; Actinomycetota; Actinomycetes; Mycobacteriales; Nocardiaceae.
UCGGCGUCCUGGAACGCGGCGAAGGUUUCGUCCGUGGCGCGCAUGAUCAGCAUGUACUUCAUGGUUCGUCUCCUUGGAUGUCGGG